Molecule: ribosomal RNA, 468 nt
Filed under: Triticum aestivum (bread wheat)
Lineage: Eukaryota; Viridiplantae; Streptophyta; Magnoliopsida; Poales; Poaceae
Description: partial small subunit ribosomal RNA
Source: RNAcentral
AUGGGAAAUAUCAUUGACCCUGGUCUUAAGGCCGUGUAUAGAGAUGUUACAGAGCUUGUAGGCAUCGAAGACAAACGGGAUGAGCUCGUUGAGGAGCUCAUUGAUGGGGAUGAGAUGUCCAAGCAACGACUCAAGACAUUGUCAAUUGUUGGAUUUGGAGGAUUGGGCAAGACAACCCUUGCCAGGGCGCUGUAUGACAACAGUAGAGUGCAGUUCGACUGUGGAGUGUUUGUUUCCGUGUCUCAGAAUCCAGACAUCGCAAAGAUUUUCAAGAAGAUGUUGUACAGACUGGACAAAAUUAAGUUUGCAAACAUCAACGAAUCUGUUAGUGAUAACCAACGACUCAUCGAUGAACUGAGAGCAUUUCUUCAGGAUAAGAGGUACCUAAUCGUGAUUGAUGACAUAUGGGACAAAAAUGGAUCUAGAAGGUUGCUAUCUAAGGGAAAGUAUAAGUACCCACGGGAUUGA